GCUCAGUUAGUUCAGUUGGCAAAAUGCUAGAUAUUUUUUUUUAUCAUAGAAACGCGAGUUCGAUUCCUGUACUGGGCC
Molecule: non-coding RNA, 78 nt
Organism: Glomus cerebriforme
Lineage: Eukaryota; Fungi; Glomeromycota; Glomeromycetes; Glomerales; Glomeraceae
Source: the annotation of a GenBank genome assembly